CAUAGAACUACUCAUGGACUGUCUUUUCACAAAACCAGUAUUUCUGGCCCUCAGGGUAUGGUCCAGUUCAACUUUCCAAAUACAUACAUAGACAGGUCAGAUCAGUCAAGCAGAGAGAAGACUGGAAGAUAGGACAAAAUCCCUUUUUACUAGCCGUUGGGAGCUGGAAUUGAAAUUACCAUCCCUCUGUGUUGAAGAAGUCCUAAGGCUGCUAUUUCUACUGGACUUGGGGCAAGAGAUGUUGUCGGGGGUCUUGCCUUUGACAUGGAUUCCAGCUACAUGCUCCUCAAAGGUAAGGGCUGUAUUAUUCACCUUUUCUUGUAUUCACCCUUACAGCUGUGCAAGUCAGCCAGUGUUCAAUAAAGAAAUAUA
Molecule: long non-coding RNA, 372 nt
Organism: Lynx canadensis (Canada lynx)
Lineage: Eukaryota; Metazoa; Chordata; Mammalia; Carnivora; Felidae
Exons: 3
Source: RefSeq, a predicted model, not a curated record